AGUGAACGCUGGCGGUAGGCCUAACACAUGCAAGUCGAACGGCAGCACAGUAAGAGCUUGCUCUUACGGGUGGCGAGUGGCGGACGGGUGAGGAAUACAUCGGAAUCUACUUUUUCGUGGGGGAUAACGUAGGGAAACUUACGCUAAUACCGCAUACGACCUACGGGUGAAAGCAGGGGAUCUUCGGACCUUGCGCGAAUGAAUGAGCCGAUGUCGGAUUAGCUAGUUGGCGGGGUAAAGGCCCACCAAGGCGACGAUCCGUAGCUGGUCUGAGAGGAUGAUCAGCCACACUGGAACUGAGACACGGUCCAGACUCCUGCGGGAGGCAGCAGUGGGGAAUAUUGGACAAUGGGCGCAAGCCUGAUCCAGCCAUACCGCGUGGGUGAAGAAGGCCUUCGGGUUGUAAAGCCCUUUUGUUGGGAAAGAAAAGCAGCAGGUUAAUACCCCGCUGUUCUGACGGUACCCAAAGAAUAAGCACCGGCUAACUUCGUG
Molecule: ribosomal RNA, 492 nt
Filed under: uncultured bacterium
Lineage: Bacteria
Description: partial 16S ribosomal RNA
Rfam family: Bacterial small subunit ribosomal RNA
Source: RNAcentral